This 173-nucleotide unclassified non-coding RNA is filed under the name uncultured fungus. RNAcentral describes it as "sequence contains ITS1, 5.8S rRNA gene". Lineage: Eukaryota; Fungi. The record is from RNAcentral.
CAGAGUUCAUGCCCUCCUGGGUAGAUCUCCCACCCUGUGUUAUCGUCACCUUUGUUGCUUUGGCGGGCCGCCCAGGCCCCUCGGCCAGGCUACCGGCUCCGGCUGGUACGCGCCCGCCAGAGGACCCCCAACUCUUGAAUAUCAGUGUCGUCUGAGUAACUAUAUAAUAGUUA